Molecule: long non-coding RNA, 675 nt
Filed under: Penaeus japonicus
Lineage: Eukaryota; Metazoa; Arthropoda; Malacostraca; Decapoda; Penaeidae
Description: uncharacterized LOC122253233
Source: RNAcentral
UGUUCCAUGAUAUCCAAACCAGAUAAGAUACUAUAAAUUGUGGUUGCUCGCCCGUCGCGCCCACUCUUGCUCUUCGCUGUCUAGUUAAUACGUCUUGGCGAACCUACUGUACAUACAGUUUAGGCACACAGUUCACGAAGAUGGCUAGUGGUAAACGCUUUCAGGUGCUGAUCUCGGUGGUGUUGAUGCUGGUCGUAGUAGCGGCGAUACCGGCAGUGGUGGAUGGAAGAGGACCUGCUCCUCCGGAAGAACUCCGGGAUUCGCACGUCCGGAUUUCGGUUAACCCGAAAUGUAUACCUCCUUGUCAUGUUUUUGACCAGUAUGGAGUGUGCAAACCAAAUAUAACCUGCCGGGCGGAAACAUCAUGAAAUCAUCUGGCUUGGCUGAUUAUAAAGUCAGACCACUUUCAUAAUGCCACUGAGGAGAGUUGUUUAAUUACUCUUGUUAUUGUCACUGCAAAAAUAUAUAUUUUUCGUUCUAGAUACAUGUAAAAUAUGAACAUGUUCAUUAUUUUCUUUUCAGUCACUAUUGAUAUAAUAAUAAAUUGGCAAAUAUUAGACUCUUGAAACAUCUUGCAUAUAAUGCCCUUUGCCUUCUAAAGGGCAUGAGAUUUUGUGGUAAUUAUUUUUGGGAAGCACAGAUGUAUAUUAUCAAAAAUAUAGUUGCAAAUUCCCU